Grammomys surdaster is the source of this 134-nucleotide small nucleolar RNA. RefSeq annotates it as small nucleolar RNA SNORA17. The transcript has a single exon. NCBI's taxonomy places the organism in Eukaryota, Metazoa, Chordata, Mammalia, Rodentia, Muridae. The record is from RefSeq and is a predicted model, not a curated record.
GUUGCAUCUAGAGGCAUAGUAGAUGCAGCUACUGCAUCAUGUGUGUGUCAGUAGGUGGCUGAGAGGAGAGAGGCUUCACCUGUAUGCUCAGUGUUCUGACCUAUGAACAUCUGAGUAAUUAGUAGACUAACAUU